AGAGAAAUGACUCUUGAAAAUUGUCCUCUGACCUGUACAUGUGCACUGUGAUAUGAGACUAUGCUCACACACACACACACACACUACUAAAUGCCAUUAAAAAAAAAAAGAAUUCAAAGAGUUUGGCCUGAAAUCUGGGUAGGAUCCACUAUAGAACUAGAGCCAAAAUAUUAUACAACCCUGUGCCUCAGAUCUCACGAGACAGUGGGCUUCCUGACCUGAAAGAAGGAAGAAGUGCAGGGGAGCAGAAAGGGUCAGAGUUGGAAGCAGAGCCCCUGCUUUGGUUACGUGGUUCACGGAGCCUUCGGAGUGCAGAGCCCUGCAGCUACCUGGGGCCAUUCUUCUGGCUUCAGGGAGGCGUGGGCAAGAAGGAACACAUCAUGGCCUCAUGCUUUGACCUAGUUCCUCAUUCAAGGACAUUGUCCCUCCAGAGACCGGGAUGUUUCCCUCCAUGGCCUCCUUCGGGUCUUCACUCGGUUGGCAGCUUCUUCAUGAGGCCUUCCAUGAUCCUUCUACACCUCAUCCCUCCCGGCAAUGGCAAUGCACACCCCAUUCUCUCAGCCUCCACUCACUAUUGUACUGCGUUCCGCACCGUGUGUAUGGGGUUCCCCUGGAUGCAGUUCCGAGAGCGGCCAGAAGAGGGCACAAGACCCCGGGACUGGAGUUAACAGACACUUGUGGGCUGCCCUGUUGGUUCCGGGGUAAUGAGUAGGAGUCCUCUGAAAGAGCAGCCGGUGUUUUUAAACACAGAGCAGUCGCUCCAGCCCCUGAUUUACCCUCCUUUAAAAGUUUCAUAUGUGAGCCGGGUGCGGUGGCCUAGGCCUUUAUCCCAGCACUCAGGGAGGUAGGGGCAGGCAUAUCACUGUGAGUUCAAGGCCAGCCUGGUCUACAAAGCGAAUCCAGGACAGCCAAGGCUGCUACACAGAGAAACCUUGUCUCAAAGACAAACAAACAAAAAUGGCGUGUAUGUUUCUAUCUGUGGUGUGUGUAUAUGUUUCUGUAUGUUUGUGUGCAUGCACACCCAUGUGGGGCGGGGUCUUCAUCUGGUGUCUUCCUUGAUAGCACUCCACAUUAUUAUUAUUAUUAUUAUUAUUAUUAUUAUUAUUAUUAUUAUUUUGUUUUUCAAGACAGGGUUUCCCAGCUGUCCUGGAACUCACUCUGUAGACCAGGCUGGCUUUGAACUUACAGAAAUCUGCCUGCCUCUGCCUCCCAAGAGCUGGGGUUCAAGCCCUGUGGCACUACUGCCCAGCUUUAUUUAAUUUUUGAGACGAGAUUUUUCACUGUGCUUGGAGCGCACUGAUCGGCUAGGCUUUAUGGCUAAUUAGCUGCAGGAGCCUUCUGUCAUUACCCACGCAGAUUCGUACAUAAAUAUGGAGCCUUAAUUGAGAAAAGGCCUCCGUAAGAUCAGGCUGUGGGCAAGCCUGUAGGGCAUUUUUUUAAUUAGUGGUUGAUGGGGGAGGGCCCAGCCCUUUGUGGGUGAGGCCACCCCUGGGCUGCUGGUCCUGGGUUCUAUUUAGAAAGCAGGCUGAGCGAGCCAGGGGGAGCAAGCCAGUGAGCAGCGCCCUCCAUGGCCUCCGCAUCAGCUCCUGCCUCCAGGUUCCUGCCCUGUUUGAGUUCCUGUCCUGCCUUCUUUCCAUGAUGAACCGUAAUGUGGAAGUGUAAGCCAAAUAAACCCUUUCCUCCCCAGGUUGCCUUUG
Meriones unguiculatus (Mongolian gerbil) is the source of this 1697-nucleotide long non-coding RNA. RefSeq lists it as uncharacterized. The record is from RefSeq and is a predicted model, not a curated record. Lineage: Eukaryota; Metazoa; Chordata; Mammalia; Rodentia; Muridae. The transcript is spliced from 3 exons.